CUUACCAGUUUUUCAAGAUCACCGCCGGAAUUCCAUCGCAGUCGUAUAUUCUCGUUUGUCGGUAGCGUGUCUGUUCGGCACCGGCUCGCGCGCGCCCCUAUCGGACAGACGCGCGGUUGUUCGGCCAGGCGGCCAACCGUCAAUCGUCAUCCGCAGACCGCGCAGUGGCAAGAAACGCGUAGUAUGUACUCCGUCGACUGCGGUCCGUCCGUCAGUCAUAUUUGCGCCGCCGGUCGUUUUCGUCGUUUCUCCGUUGCCGUUGUCGUUGUCGUCGCCGCCGCCGCUGCCGCUGUCGUCGUAAUGAAUUCGGCCGAUUACCCAUGUUAACACAACGGAACGCGAAUAAACGAAUAACGUGAUUAGACUGCAACGAAUAAUAUGUGAUUCGCAAUCGUGUUUAUUUAUUUACGCUUAAUUCCUAUGAUAAUAUUUAAUCUAUGUUUAAUCCUCGAGUUUUCUAUUUUUUCACUUAAUAAUAAUUAUAUUGCGCCUUUAAACUCCGGCUCCAAAAACAAUAUUAUGGACGUGUGAUCAGCGUAAGACGUUUUUAUUAUCGUCAUCCAAUGAAUGCUUUCGUGCGCGACGGUGCGGUAAUCCGCAAGAGACGAAUCCGUCAAAGUUUAAGUGCGCGCAGCACCGAACCAGAGAGGAAAAAGAUUUACAAGGCACACGACGACGGAGCCUUGCGGCGUGACCUUGCGUUAAGUACUCUCCAAAUACAUUCCAGUGAAAGUUCAGUUAACCAAUCGAAGGUUGUAGCAACUGAGAAGGAAUCCAGAUAUUCAAAUGUUGAGUUUACGCGAGCAAAAGCUUUUUUGUAUUUAAAUUACAAGAAAAUUAGUUGUUUUAACGUUAACAAACUUCUCAAAGAACAUUUAAAGGAAUUUGAUGAAAAUGAAACUCAUUUAAAAAGGACUUUUGAACAAUGUUAUGAUGUAACCGGAUCUGUAGAAAAGAGUAAAGCUAUGAUGAAACAAAUUGCGACUAACACAUGGUCAAGACUUGAUCUUAAACCUACUUUAUCUUCAGGAGUUAGUGAAAGUUUUUUAAAAUUCUGUUUUAGGAGGUUAUCCAUUUUGCCAUGUAAAGUUGUUGAAAAAAGUGUUAAAAGACUUAAAAAAAAUAAGUAUAAAAAAAAUAUGACAAUCAGCUUAAAAAAAAAAAUUGAUGAUCUAAAUAUAAUAUUAUUUGGCAAGGAACAUUCAUCAAAAGAUAAAAAAAUCCUAUAUACAAUAAAACUUAAUGAAUAUAUUGGAGCACCUAAAAUAUAUUCUGAUUCUGAUUCAACAAUAAUUUCAGAUGAUGAAGAAAUUGGUAAUAGAAGUUGUAUACUAACUAAAGCUUAUAGCCUACGAGAUCCGAAAUUCGAAAACCUUAGGGAUACUAAAACAGGCACAUGUGUUAUUGUCCGCAUAAAUUCGAAUUUAAUUAAAAAUAAUCCUCAAUCAAAUACAUUUUAUGCUAAAAAAUCAAUUUCAGCAACUAGUCAAUUAAAAACUUCGGUUCAUAAAAAAUUUAAAAAAGGUCCAAAUGUUUGCGAUACUGGAAAUUCUAAAAUAUCGGCAUCAAAUAUGAAUAAUCUUGAAAAGAUAAAUUCACAACUAAAUACCGACGCAAGCAUUCAAAACGCUGAAAGUUUUGUACUGAAAAAGGUUAAUCAUGUUGGACAAAUCAUAGUUCCACAGUUUAAUAUUGAUGGAAUGGUUAAAAAUUCCAAAGUUCCUGAAUUAGAAACAAAUGUUGAAGGAGAAAAUACAAUUCCACAUAAAAAUGUUGAAGGUCCAGUAUUAGCUCAGAAUAUUGAUGAUGAAGAAAUGGUGGUUCCUCCAUUAAUAAUUGAUGAAUUUGUUGAAGAUGCUGAUAGUACUGUAUUGGAAACCGACGUUGGAGAAAUUAUGUUUCCAAAAUUAAUUAUAGACGAAAAUGUUCAAUCUUCCAAUAUGAUUCUAUUGGAAACUAAUACUCUUGUUGGAAAAAUUAUAGAUCAAGAAUUAGAAAAAUCUACAAAUAAUCAAGAUUUAGCCAACUCUCAAAUUGAUACAGAUAUUGAUGAUUCGAAAAAACAAUCUGCAUUGGAAACCGACGUUGGAGAAAUUAUGGUUCCGAAAUUAAUGGAAAAAAAUUUUAAAAAUGCCAAUAGUACUGCAUUAGAAACAAACGUUGAAGUAGAAAAUACAGUUCCACAUAGAAAUUCUGAAGGUCCAGUUUUGACUCCGAAUAUUGAUGAUGAAGAAAUGACGGUUCCUCCAUUAAUAAUAGAUGAAUUUGUUGACAAUUCUGAGAGUAUUGUAUUGGAAACGGACGUUGGAGAAAUGAUGUUUCCAAAAUUAAUAAUAGACGAAAAUGAUCAAUCUUCCAAUAGAACCAAAUUGGAAAUGAAUACUCUAGUUGGAAAAAAUAUAGAUCUAGAAUUAGAAAAAUCUAAGAGUAAUCAAGAUUUAGCCAAUUCUCAAAUUGAUACAGAUAUUGAUGAUUCGAAAAAACAAUCUGCAUUGGAAACCGACGUUGGAGAAAUUAUGGUUCCGAAAUUAAUGGAAAAAAAUUUUAAAAAUGCUAAUAGUACUGCAUUAGAAACAAACGUUGAAGUAGAAAAUACAGUUCCACAUAGAAAUUCUGAAGGUCCAGUUUUGACUCCGAAUAUUUAUGAUGAAGAAAUGACGGUUCCUCCAUUAAUAAUAGAUGAAUUUGUUGACAAUUCUGAGAGUAUUGUAUUGGAAACGGACAUUGGAGAAAUGAUGUUUCCAAAAUUAAUAAUAGACGAAAAUGUUCAAUCUUCCAAUAGAACCAAAUUGGAAAUGAAUACUCUAGUUGGAAAAAAUAUAGAUCCAGAAUUAGAAAAAUCUAUAAGUAAUCAAGAUUUAGCCAACUCUCAAAUUGAUACAGAUAUUGAUGAUUCGAAAAAACAAUCUGCAUUGGAAACCGGCGUUGGAGAAAUUAUGUUUCCAAAAUUAAUUAUAGACGAAAAUGUUCAAUCUUCCAAUAUGGUUCUAUUGGAAACUAAUACUCUUGUUGGAAAAAUUAUAGAUCCAGAAUUAGAAAAAUCUACAAGUAAUCAAGAUUUAGCCAAUUCUCAAAUUAAUGAAAUGAAAAUCGAUACGGAUAUUAAUGAUUUGAAAAAACAAUCGGAAAUAUUGGACCAUACAAAUUUAGUGCUUAAAAUUAGAAAAAUUAUAAACACGGAUGAUGAGGUAUUUAAAAAUUCUAUAAUAAAAGAUUUGGCAACGUAUUUUUUAAAUGAUGAUUUUCUAUACAAAGUAGAUGCAUUAUGGAAAACUACUGAAUCAGAACUUGUUGGAGAGUUAAUCAUAAAACUCCUUAAUAUGUUUAAUGACAUCGAAUAUAAUAUGGCACAAUUUACAGGUUGUUUAAUUUGCAUAUUUCGUGAAAUCGCUCGAAAGUCUUCCAUUCUUCCGUGUCAAUUGAAAUUAAAAUUGAUUGUGUUCCUUGAUGCUAUUAAAAAAUACAUCAAAUUUCAUGAUAAUGCAUUAUGGAGAACUUGGUUUUUACCUAGUAUGUUCUUCGAUUGGUGUUUUAUUGUCGCUUUUAUCUUUAUGAAUACUAAAAAUGAAUUUAAAAUAGAUUUUAAUAAGUCAGUUAUAAGAAAUGCAACAUCGUACUAUAAAAUGGUUAAACGGUGUAGAUAUCUAUUUAUUAAUCAAGAUUUAAAACCAACUAAGUCACAUAAGAAGAGUGGUAUAUUUGAAUUGACAAGAAUUGAUGACCUCUUGGAAAUUGAUGACGUACAUGCCACGAAUGAUACCAAAGUAAUACCGAAUAUAACUACUAACAUACCCUCGAAUGAACUUGAACGCAAAAAACUCAAAACGGAAGACAAUUGUAUAGAUACUAUUAAUCAAACUACACCAGGAAAUAUAGAGGAAGUGUGCCUUGCUUCAGUUGAUCCUAAAAUAUCUAAAAUAAUAGUACGUCCUCAAUUUAGUUAUUCAAAUUCAUUCAUUAAUAAGUUAAAUUGGUUUAAUAAUAAUAUCAGUGACCUUAUGAAAAGAUUCAACGCAUCAACUUCUAAUGAAAGUAAUGAAAGUUCCAUUGUCCAAAAUAAUACUUCAGUUGUUGAUAACAAUAAAGCACCAUCAUCUGUUAAUAAACGCCGAUGUGUUGUAACGAAUGCAACAAAUGAGCCAACAAUGAGUAAAAAAUCAAAAACACAAGUUGAAUCUCCACGCGUAUUUUUUACUAUUGCAAAUAAUCCUAAAGAAUUUGACAUAACUUAUGGUUCAUCAGCAAUCGCUCAGUCAAGAUCAUCAGCAGUCUCUAAGAAUGUAAGUUCAUCAUCAACAGUGCCUAAUAAUUCAAGUUCAUCAGCAGCAGUUCCUCAGAGUUUAGUGGUGUCAUCAACAGUUUCUCAAAAUUUGAGUCCAUAUUACAAUCAUUAUUCCUCCAGUAAUACCAUUAGUCAACUUCCGGUAACUUCGCAAACUGUAGCCUCUCGAAGUUUAAGUGUAUAUUACAAUAAUAUUAAUUCCAAUAUUAUGCAGGCUCCUAUUGGUUUGCCAUCACUUUCUAAUACUACACAAUCUUCAUAUCCGGCGAGUACAAAUCCAUCAGUCAAUAUAAACAGAACAUCUAAUAUUCAUCCAAUUCAUUCAAAUAAUCAGAGAGGGAUUCACCAUCAGAGUUCAGCUGCAGCGAAUUCACAGCGUCCAAAGGCAGCAAAUACAUGGCCAUCAAACAAGUAUACCAAUAUGUGUAGUGAUCCUUCUUGCAGUAAAUCUAGUACUUACACCACUCAAUACACAAAUUCUAAUGCCUCGUCGUAUUCACAAUCGACAUAUAGUCAUAACAUUCCAUCAGCAACUUCACAUCCUCAAUAUUCAAAUGCGCUUACAUAUCCAACAACCUACACACAUCCAAUAAUUAGUGGUCUAUUAGAAAGCAACACAGCAAAUGUGGCAUCAAUGAAUACCUAUAUGCAGAACCAAAGUUAUAAUUAUAGUAAUUCUUACUCAAGUCAGAAUAACUUGAAGACUCCCGAUCACAAUACUCAGGUUUCACCAGAUUUGCCUGAUGCUCGACUACCCAACAUGCCAAAUCACCAAGCUGCUGAUACUAUAAAUCAAACGUGUAUGGCGGCCAACUGUACAAAUGUUUCCAGUUUUUCUUGUAAUACUUGUUUGGCUGCUUUUUACUGCAGUAUACAAUGCCAAGUCAAUCAGUAGAAAGAACAAAAAGUACAUAUACAAAUGAGUAUAAAUUGUUUAACGUUUGGCACGCGCAAUGUCCGUCUUUGACUUAAACAUGCGCGGGCAGAAGUGCUUCGAUAUUUAUUUUACACACAGUCAGAUACACUAAUGAUCACUUACAUAUUUUGAAAGCUGACUAUUUCAAAGUUCAAACUCAUUAAAAACUGUCCGAUACCGAUCCCCUUGAUAAUGUUUCAAGAUAUAUACUUAGAACAAAUAAAUUAUGUUUUGUUCCAAUUCAUUUUAAAAAUCUGACUGGCAUUAUCACCAAAACGAAUGUUGUGUUUCUUUUUAACUGGAUAACCUACAGGUUAUUUAAUUAAAAUUAUUAUGAUUAAUUUUUACAACAUUGUUCAUUGUAUCUACAUUGAUGUUUUUUUUAUCAUAUUACCCUCAACUGCAUCUUUUUUUGUAAAUAAUUACAACUUAAUUUAUUUACAUGUAUCUAUUCAAUUUUAUUAUUUAAUUGGUUAAUGACAUAUUGACAUGAGAAUAAUUGUUAUUCUAAUAAUAAUAACUAUUAUUAUUGUGUAAUAGAUGAUAAUAUUAUUAUUUCAUUACAUAAUAAGAGUAAUUAUGCAUGACUUUUCUAUUAUAUAGUUUACAAUAAGACCAUAGUAUUAUUAUUUGUAUACUUACUGUUGUUUUACUUAUUUAAUUGGAAGGCUGACUAAACUUAAUAGCAAUUUAACUGAGACUAUUUCUUAAUCAACUUUCUUAUAGUUAUAAUAAUUAAAAGAAGAGUGUUUGAUAAGUUUUCCAGUCAGUAGGUUGUAUUAAAACUUAACUGAUUUUUAUGCGUGCAAAUAUUUUAAUGUCGGAGUGGCUCCUAAAAAAAUUGUAUUGUACUAAUAUAUUACUUUAGGGCUUAGGCUGUAAUAUUUUUAUUAGUAAAACAUAUUCUUGACACUGGUUUUUUGAAAUUUCUCAUAUAAAAGUUAUUAAUUUCAUUUGAUUUUAGCUUUGAACAAUCUUCCAGUUUAACUGUGUAUAAUUUUUCAAACAAAUAACAAAUACAAUUUUUAGCAUGUUCUUUUAUCAAAUAUUAAAUAAAACUUGUCCUUCAAAAACAGUUUAUUACAUAAACGCUAAAUAAAUAAUAAUUAUUAAAAUAACAAUUUACCCAGUUCAUUGUUAUUAAUCAUUAUCUAGUUCCGUCAAAAUGUAUUUUUCUAUAGACAUUAACAUAAAUGCCUUCAGGUCAUUGAGCUUCUCAAUCUAUUUUUUUUUAGAUAUUUAAGAGUAGAAAACAAUCUACUCAAUCUAUCCCUUUAUCAUGUACUAAUUUUGACUUAAAACGAAAGUACUUACAAUCACCAUAAUAUGACCUAUAUGAUCAAUGAUCACAAUAUUAGUCACAAACAUUUAAUGAGGAACCUAAUUAGGUUAAUCAAUAUACCUCAAUCUUUUUGGGAGCUUUGUUUUUGAACUAUUUAACAGACCAUUGCAGGGGCAUUAAAUGAUAACUUUGAAUUAGUUAUUACAUAAUGAAACUUAAAAUGUAAAGAAGAAUAGGGGUUAUUUUCCAAAACGUGUUAAUGCCAAAAAUCAAAUUGUUGAGAAAACACAUUUUUUUUUGUUCUAAGAUCUAUAGAAAGUAUAUAAUAACCUUAUACCAGCGUUUCUUAAACUGUGUUCCAUGGAACCCCAGGUUCUGCAGAGAUCACUUCAGGGUUUCGUGAAACUUAAGUGCUCUUUUUCAAAAUUUUAAAUCGUUCUCUGUGUUAAAUGUUUGUGCAUUUCAAAAGAUAAAUAUCCUCAAUUGUCACAAAAGGUCGUGUUGGCACUUAUACCAUUUGUAACCACUUAUAUAUAUGUGAAACGGGGUUCACCAUCUAUAUGUACCUACAAAAACAAAAUACCGCAGCAGACUUGAUGCUGAACCUAAUAUAAGAAUACAAUUUUCAUCAAUAAAGCUCGAUAUUAAGAAUAUUUGUAAUAGUAAAAAGUAAUUUCACUCAUCUCAUAAAAAUUAAAAUUUAGAACUUUAGAAGUUCUGUUAUUGUCUGUUAUUUAAAAUAUUUUUUGAAUUAAAUACAGAAUAGUGUGUACACAUUAUUAUUGAACAAAAUUAUUACAAAUUUUAUUGUAAAUAAUCCUUACAUAAAAUGACACAUUAAAACUAUUGAAACAAAGUAUAGGUUCUAAUUGUAGAGCUAUAAAAACUUACUGUUGAAAGCUUAAUAAAAAAGCUGAAAAGCUAGAAAAAAAAAGUAGGGGUUCCACAAUAAAAGUGGACAUAAAAAAGGGUUCCACGGAUAAAAAAGUUUAAGAAACGCUGCCUUAUACUAAUAGACAAGGAGUGAUUGCACACCGAGCGUGGAAACAUAGAGAGCGCUUUUCGUAAGAUGUAUAGAUAUAUAGAUUAUUGUAGUUUAUCGUCAAGAUAGCAUUUUCAUCAAAAUUUAAGUUGGUAAUAUUUAUUAUUAUUUAAGAAUGACUACUAACUACUAGAUCACAGAAUAGUUUAAACCAGAAUGAGCCCUCGAAAAAUGUACAAUAAAAAAAAACCAAAAUUGUCACUUAAAAACUGUAGAUUAAAGUGACUGUAUACAAUAUAAAUCAGUUAAUUUGUUUGCAUAGCUAUUGGCUAUAUUGAUGGCAUUAUAGCUCUUAUCACGGUUUUUGGAGCGUGUCUAUUCUGUUUUCACCUAUUUUGUGACGAGUAUAAUAUUAUUGUAUGCCGCAUGGGAAAACACAAAUAGUUAUUGCAUGUCCUCUCACGUGAUGUUAUUUAAACUCUAUAUGACCAUAUCUAGCGAUGUUUAUCAGCACCGUUUAAGAUAUACAGUUAAACAUUAUCGGUCUAUGAUAGGGUGACCAUAUUUAAAAAAAAAAAAAAUACAGGACAAAAUUAAUAAUAAUAUAAUUUUUUUUUUAUUAAUACUUAAUAUAUAUAUAUCUAUAUAUAAUAUAUAUUUUAUAAUUUAAACAUAAUUUUUAAUAACACUGUAUAAGAUUCAUGUACUUUACUUUUUUAAAAAAACUUAUUAAUUCAUUUUGAUGACGAUUGUUCAGAGAUGUCUUCACUAUUUGAUUUUUCAUAUUUUUCUGAAGAAGUAAUUAGUUUUAAUAAUUGUGGAUGUUCUAAAAGAAAUGUAUGCAAUUCUGUACAUGAAACAUUUUUAAAAUGUUGUUUUACGAUUAUUAUCGAUCUAAUUGUGUCCACAAGAAAUCGAUUUUUCUCAUCUGUCCAUAAAACAUUUGUAAUUGAAAAUACUCUUUCUACCGACGCGUUAGUUCCUGGAAUAGCCAUCGAAUACUCUAAAAUAACCGUAAAAUAUUUAAUUGAAAUGUUAUUUUUUUUUAGAAUUUUGAAUAUUUCACACCACCUAUCUUCGGUUUUUGAACCAUUUUUCCAGUUUUGCAUUUUAACCUUCAUUACAUUUAUCACAUGAUUAAAUUCGUCAAAAAGUUCAUCUUCAUCGAAUUUCAAUGUUGGAUUAUUCUUAAUAAUAUAUUUAAAACUUUCUUGAAUGUCACUCCAAAUUGGAAAAUCUAGUACUUGAAUCCAACGAAAAACUUUUAGUGGUUCAAAGUGAUAUCCCCAUUUUUCCACGUACGAUAAAAACGUGUCAUAAAACUCAUCAGUUAUCUCAAUAAACUUUUUUUCACUGUACAGUUUGUUCUUAUCAAGAUCUGAAAUAAGUUGAGCUAGCUCUGACGUAAAAAAAUGUUGAUUUUUCCGAUUUUUUAUUUUACCACAUAACACUUCAAUUUCUUCAUACACCUCGCCUGCUGAUAUAUGAUCACCUUCUAUCCUUUUUAUUGUAUCACAUACCACCUUCAACUGACUUUGUACAAAAUAUAACCAUGCCAUGGAUAUAGGAUCAUUAAAAAAAGUUCUUAAAACUGUAGGACACUUUUCUUAUGACAUAAAAUAUGAUUUCAAUGCAGGAUAUAAAUCUAUUAUUCUAGAAACAGCUGGCUGUAGAGAUAACCAACGCGUUUUUACAGAUCCUAAAAUAUUUUUGUACUCAAUACUAACAAAAUCGCAAAAAUCCUUCAAUUUUUCUAUACGAACUGUAUAAAUAUGAAAAUACUGAAAUAUUUUAUUAAUUAUGAGUUCAAUGUCAGUUGGCAAAAUAUCAGCACUACUAUGCAUAGCAUUGUGCAGAAUAUGAGCAGCACAGCCAAUACCGGAAAUAUUUCUUUUUAAUUUUUCAUUUAGAAUUGCAAAAACGUUAUUUGUGUCUUUUCUCGAGACGCCGCCAAAAUUUGUAUUGCAGUUGUCACCCGAAAAUGCAACAACAUUAUUUAAACAUUCAGUAUGUAAUCUUAUAAAAUAUUUGAUGUUUCUCCUUUUAAAUUCAUAAAUUCUAACACUUUAAUUUUUAUCCCUUCUUGGGGGUUAAAAUACCGAAUCAGAAUUGGAACCAGUUUUAAAUUUUUAUGGUUUGACGUGUCCACCAUAAUUGUUAAAAAUUUAACGGAUUUUAGUUCAUCUAACAUCUGUUGAAUGGCAAAAGGAGCUAUUACAUUCACAAUUAUAGAUUCACAUUUUGUAUACGAGCACACGAAAAUUUUUUUUCGUAAAUUUUUUUUAUAAUUGAUGUUGAACAAUCCAUAGACCUGAAUGAAUAAUUGUGUAUAAUAGUAUGAUAUCCAAAAAGACCCUCUUCCACAGCAAUACAUUUGCUUUCAUUUGUUGACUGUACAUUAGUGAAAAAAUUCGUUACCUUAUUUGAAGAACUGCUUGAUACGGCCAAUAAAUGUUUCUUUUGUUUAACAUGUUGUGUAAUAUCUGAACGACCACCGUUUUCUAUUGAAAAAACUGAUUUACAUACAAUACAUAAAACUUUUCCGAUUUCAUCACUAUCUCUUAAAAACGGAAAUUCAACUUUCAAGCUGGGAGUAAAUACGCACCUUCGCUUAGGCAUUUUAAUAGAUGACUUUCCUAAAAUUGUAAAAUAUUAUAUUAACGAUUAUCAACAAGUCGACAACACUCAACGAUUGUUGGAACCCAACUAAUAGACAUUCGCUAUUCGCCGUAUUCAUAAAACGUAUUUUCAGUGAUAUAAAUAUAAUAAUAGAUAGAAUCGAAAGCAUAGUCAGAUAACGGUAAAUCCGAUAACUCCGAUAAGCUCCUAUAACUCAUAGACAUAUCGUCAUACCCCAUACUGAUAAAUUCAGACAAUUACAAGAUUACAAUUAUAAUCAUUAUUCAUUACUUUCGUAAGUUUCGUUUUCAAAUUCAUUCAUUUUGUUUGAUCAAAAAAACAGGACAAAAAGCGUCCUGAAAGAAGUUUGUCAGGACAACAGGACACAACGCUGAAAUAAAGGACAAUCCUGUAACAAACAGGACGUAUGGUCACCCGUCUAUGAUAUAAUGUAUUUUCAUGACCGUCAAACUGAGUCGCCAAAACAGCUGUGGAAAUACAAAAUGGCGCAAUCUAGCAGCAUUUUUUUGGAAACUCAACAAUUCAAAACGUAUUUUUAUCGUAAGACAUAUGCUUAUGUAUAACCACGAUUAAAGAUAGUAUGGUUGCCCAACGAACUAUGAUAAGAAACUAUUUAAUGAUACUCAUAGUUUCUUUUAUUAUCAACGAUACUCUAGAAACUUUUACUAGCGCUCAUAGAGUAAAAAUUAAGUACUAGGCAUAAAAUUAUACGAAUAUUAUAUGAUUCAAUAUUUAAACGCUCGAAGUGACAAUGCUCGGUUCUGCUAUUCGUUGUGAUAACAAGAAAACUCGGAGAAUCACUUGAUUAUGGUUUGUUGUGCAACCAUACUAUCUUUAACCGUGUGUAUAACUAAAUAUCAUAUCGGUUCAACACAUUAUAUCGCUAAAUGGUGCCAGUCAGUAGUUCCAUAGCUGUUAUAGCUUCAAUUGGACGGGGUCCAUUUCACAAUUCGUUGUGUAACCAGUAUAAUAUCUUGAAUCGUGUUUUAUCAGAUAGGCACAUAAAAACAACUUUUAGAUACGACAACACUUCCCCUAAAAUAGAAAACAAAUUCGUUCCACCACUUGGUUGAUAAAUAAUACUUUGUAAAUUAAAAUUUUUAAUGUUUUAUAAAAUAUAAACUUAUUUUAAAAUGUUUAAUUAUAUAUUAUUUCAAAUGGCACGCUUCGAAAAAAUGCUAUAUUUAUAACCUAUUCUAAUUACAUGUAUUGCACUAGCAGGUUUUGACAAAAAUAGUUUAUGGAAAUAGAUCGUUAUAAAUAAAAUGCGCAUUUUCCAACACAUUUUUCGCAUACAAAUAUUUUGUUUUGGAUAAAAAAUAAUAAUACCAUUAGAUUGGCCGCUAUUUUUAGCAAAGAAGAAUCAAUGUAAAAGUCGAUUUUGUUAAAAAUAGAAUUAAUAAGUUUUGGAAAAGACCCCCUAUUGUUAAUGAAGUUAGGGAAUUUUAAAUACAUACUUAGCAUAGAUUAAUGAUACUAUAGAUAAGCAAUGUAAAAUUAUUGACGAAUGACUUGUAAAUCAGCAUUGUUUGCUAAUAAUAUGUUAAGGUAAAUUAUAAUAAUUUUAGUAUUUAAAAUUUAUUAUAUUUUUGUUUAAAAUCAAUAUAUUUAUUUAAAUUGAUAUACUUAAGUACCAAAGUAUAAAUUACUUAUAGCAAGACCGUAAUUAGAGUGGGAGUUAUUUCAGCAUUAAAUAUAUUUGGGUUAUACCUAAAGAAUUUAUUAUUUAAUUGAAAUUAAUUUUUUUUCAUUUGUCCCCAUAAAAAUGUCUAAAUACGGUCUUGUUUGAAAAGCGGAUGCUUUCAUUUUGACGAGAUUCAAAAUAUAUACAUUUUAUAUUUAAUAAAGAUUAUUGUUAAUUAA
RNA transcript from Metopolophium dirhodum (rose-grain aphid), 11965 nucleotides. RefSeq lists it as uncharacterized. The record is from RefSeq and is a predicted model, not a curated record. NCBI's taxonomy places the organism in Eukaryota, Metazoa, Arthropoda, Insecta, Hemiptera, Aphididae. The transcript is spliced from 9 exons.